GAUGAACGCUGACAGAAUGCUUAACACAUGCAAGUCGACUCGAGUCUUCGGACUUGGGUGGCGCACGGGUGAGUAACGCGUAAAGAACUUGCCUCUUAGACCGGGACAACAUCUGGAAACGGAUGCUAAUACCGGAUAUUAUGGUUUUUUCGCAUGGAGGAAUCAUGAAAGCUAGAUGCGCUAAGAGAGAGCUUUGCGUCCCAUUAGCUGGUUGGUGAGGUAACGGCCCACCAAGGCAAUGAUGGGUAGCCGGCCUGAGAGGGUGAACGGCCACAAGGGGACUGAGACACGGCCCUUACUCCUACGGGAGGCAGCAGUGGGGAAUAUUGGACAAUGGACCACAAGUCUGAUCCAGCAAUUCUGUGUGCACGAUGACGUUUUUCGGAAUGUAAAGUGCUUUCAGUCGGGAAGAAGUCAGUGACGGUACCGACAGAAGAAGCGACGGCUAAAUACGUGCCAGCAGCCGCGGUAAUACGUAUGUCGCAAGCGUUAUCCGGAUUUAUUGGGCGUAAAGCGCGUCUAGGCGGCAAGGAAAGUCUGAUGUGAAAAUGCGGAGCUCAACUCCGUAUGGCGUUGGAAACUGCCUUACUAGAGUACUGGAGAGGUAGGCGGAACUACAAGUGUAGAGGUGAAAUUCGUAGAUAUUUGUAGGAAUGCCGAUGGGGAAGCCAGCCUACUGGGCAGAUACUGACGCUAAAGCGCGAAAGCGUGGGUAGCAAACAGG
Molecule: ribosomal RNA, 724 nt
Filed under: uncultured Fusobacterium sp.
Lineage: Bacteria; Fusobacteriati; Fusobacteriota; Fusobacteriia; Fusobacteriales; Fusobacteriaceae
Description: bacterial SSU rRNA
Rfam family: Bacterial small subunit ribosomal RNA
Source: RNAcentral